AUGAGAGGAAAGGAGGAGCUGACCCCUGCUCUCACCAAGGAGAGCAGCAUCCCAAGUAGAAGGAUGUGUGGCUCUGCCUGGGGCCCCACCCUGCUCUGCUGUGUCACUGUCUCUCUCCUGGCAACAGGUGCAGCAAAUCCCGGGGUCAUCCAGACUCCAAGACACCUAAUCAAAGCACAGGGAGGAAGGUCCAUUCUGAAAUGCAUUCCGAUGUCUGGACAUGACAAUGUGGCCUGGUACCAACAGCCUCUGGGGCAGGAACUGAAGUUCCUCAUUCAGCAUUAUGAAAAAAUGGAGAGAGCGAAAGGAGACAUGCCCAACCGAUUCUCAGUCCAGCAGUUCAGUGACUAUCACUCUGAGAUGAACAUGAGCGCCUUGCAGCUGGAGGACUCUGCUGUGUACUUCUGUGCCAGCUCACCACAGCCUCACAGAGAGACUGGCUUUCUGUCCCUUAAUCUUCCUGCUCCCACUAGUGAUGUACUAUAG
Non-coding RNA from Cricetulus griseus (Chinese hamster), 486 nucleotides. Lineage: Eukaryota; Metazoa; Chordata; Mammalia; Rodentia; Cricetidae. The record is from the annotation of a RefSeq genome assembly.